CUGCGACACGGAAAGGAAGGGUGUGGCUUUCUCUCAGGCCCCUGAACGCACAGUAGGUUUUUGGUCGAGCCAAUAGGAUCUCCUGAUGUACAGGAUGCAGUAGGUGAGAAAAAGAGAAGAUUCAGGGGAACGUGAGAGUCUGUGGAAGUGCCGGCUAUUAUGAGACCGUUUGAAAAGGAGGAAGCGGGAAGCUGGAGAUCUUAUUAAUGUGUGGCUUAACAGAAGACAGCUCGUCCUCAGCAUCGGCUUCUGUGUUCAGCUACCACACUACCUGAGAUCUAAAAUACAGAGAAUGGAACAGGCUUACUGCUGAACAACAAUCAGAUCAUGAAAACUGAGAAAAUUUGUGGGCGUGAUUAGACCAUGUGGAAUAAAAGGUUCUUUGGCUGAUCUAAUCAUUAAAUGGACAGAAAACAGAUUAAAACAGGAGAACGACAGAUUUCAUACAGAUGGGAGCCCCAUAAAAAUAUGGGUCUCCCCACCAUCCUGAGCUAAGAGGAGAAGGUGUUGGGGGUCUGGGGAAUAGAAAAGGAAGAAGUCAGUUCACAGGACACUGAGAAGAGCAGAUGUUUGGUAAACAGACAUUUGCCACGUAGGUUAGUCUUUUGAAUAUAAAAGUUACUUAUCAGUAUGGUAAUCUCUCUCUUUCUGGUGCACAGCCCCCCAACCCCAUCUAAAUUCUAUUAGGCAGUUAAUGAGGGGUGCAAAAAGUUCUCCCCGGGUCAGCUGGGCCCUGGCUUCAGCCUGAAGUAAUCCACAUGCCAAGUAGCACAUUCUGGGUGGCAUCUUCUGCUGCCCCUUAGAAACUAAGUACACUGAAAAAAAAUCGUAGGUAUAAAAACAUUUUGGAAACAGAAAAUCACAAGCAGGGACACAGGAUGGAAACCCAGGGUUAACGACCCAGCAUACACUCCUGUAGAAAACACUCUUUUACUUUUUCUCUCUUCCUGAAAGCACUUGGAAAACCAUAAAGUGCUACAUUCAUAUUAGCACAAGGAAAUGCGUUUUUAAUAUCUCCUCAGAGCAGCCUGCAGAGGGGUAAGCUGAAAGAGUAGCAUUUGGGGGGUGUGUAAAAUCCGGCACUAAACUGGGACAGAGAGACCCGGACUGAACAUUCAGAAAGAGAUGCAAAAAUAAUGAGGUCUUAGGAGCUGGGGUCCCGUACGAGCCUUGCAGGAGGAAAAGAGAAAAGGGACAAGUAUCACCUUAAAAACAAUUUUGCAAAAUGCUGUGUCCUCAUCGAGGGUGAA
Long non-coding RNA from Camelus dromedarius (Arabian camel), 1250 nucleotides. RefSeq lists it as uncharacterized. The record is from RefSeq and is a predicted model, not a curated record. The transcript is spliced from 6 exons. NCBI's taxonomy places the organism in Eukaryota, Metazoa, Chordata, Mammalia, Artiodactyla, Camelidae.